AUGCUGCUUCUCGCCCGGUACCGACUCGUCCUGCGCGUCCCGGUCCGGCUUUUUGAGUUCGGAAGGCGGGCUGGUGUUGAGAGUGGCGACCUGCGCGGCCAUGAUUCCCGGUGUGUCGGUCCUCCUCCGGUGUGUCAGCGCGGCGCCUCACUCGCAGACGAACUCCGGACAACCAUGGAAAAUAAAUACGAUUAUUUCAGCAACGACGUCCCCGCCGUCCCGGUUCAUCCCCCCGCUGCCCUCCUCCCGGACCGAUCUCCGGUAAUCCACGGCGGCUCCGCAGCAAAUGAGAGGAGCCGGCGCAGGAAAGUGGAGGAAAGCAUGAAAUUACAACCUGUGCAGAGCCAGAGGAGAGGGGGGAUAGAGAAGGAAGACGGAUGGGGGAUGGAUGGAGGCAGCCGAAGAGCCGGAAGUGCAGACCCAAAAAGAGAAGCAUGAAGUGGAGAGUGUGCAGCCACCAAGAGCCUGCUGUCAGUCAGAGGUCAGCCCCAGCCAGCUCAUGCAGGGAGCAGAAGAUCUGGAGGAAGGCCUGCAGUCGCUCAUUAACAGGGACAGACUGCACUGCUCUUCAGCUGGUGCUCCCUCCCCACCCCCGUGCUGCCUGUUCCCUGCCUGCCUCGCACGCUCAGCAGCCUUCGUGCUCCCUUCAAGUGUCGUCGGUAUUUUCACCAUCACAGAAAUGACAGAUAAAUGCGUCUUGAAGCAACGUUGAUAAACUAAACCUGUGUUCCUAAUCAUCAACAACCCCAACCAAUGAGCCGCUGUUAACUUCCAGCAGGCUUUUGCUUUAGUCAUGUCAAAAACGCGUAUGUGUUUGUCAGAAAAACAUUGAUCCACGAGCUGACAUGAAGAUGCUGAGGCUCUCUUUGGGAGAAACCGGAUGAUAAGAUCAGGAAUGAAUCCAUCAGAGGAACAGAUCAUGUGGAGACCUCUAAAGGGAGCAAAACAAGGAGGAGAUGGCUUCAGAUGUUUUGUACAAGUGUUUGCUGGAAAGGCAUGCAAGCACCAAAAGCACGUCUUCAAAUUCACUUUUUGUAUAAAUGUAGACUGGAUCAAUCAGAGGAAAAUCCCAAAGAGAUGCAUGUUACAGUCAAUCUGGAUGUUGAGUCAGGAAAAUGGUGUCUUUUGAGGAGGAUCCUGGAAAUGGUUAUAAAGUCCUCUUGGUGCUCUCUUUUUAGUUAAAGUAGCGCCAUCACUUUUACAUUUAGAAUAAAGAAUUUGAAUAAAAAAUGACUUUUAGAUGAAAAUUUAUUUAGUUUUUAGAUAAGUUUGAGAGUGGAAGUGUUGCAUCCUGGGCCUUGGAUCUGUUUAAUGAAAUUUAUUUGAACCUUUUUCUUUAAACUUUGGUUCUCAGUUUGUUUGGUGGUUCUGUGAGAGGAACCAGAAAGAACCAACUUUUUCCUAUUUUCUUUAUAUUUUCGGUUUUUAUAGGUCCAGAUGCUGUUAACUGUUCUUUGUUGUGCUUUCAGU
RNAcentral lists this long non-coding RNA (1470 nucleotides) under Oryzias sinensis (Chinese medaka). Its description in RNAcentral is "lncRNA (ENSOSIG00000017603.1)". Lineage: Eukaryota; Metazoa; Chordata; Actinopteri; Beloniformes; Adrianichthyidae. The record is from RNAcentral.